This 253-nucleotide ribosomal RNA is filed under the name uncultured bacterium. RNAcentral's name for it is "partial 16S ribosomal RNA". It matches the Rfam family "Bacterial small subunit ribosomal RNA", at positions 524 to 776 of the family's 1533-position model. The record is from RNAcentral.
UACGAAGGGGGCUAGCGUUGCUCGGAAUCACUGGGCGUAAAGCGCACGUAGGCGGCUUUCUAAGUCAGGGGUGAAAUCCUGGAGCCCAACUCCAGAACUGCCUUUGAUACUGAGGAUCUUGAGUUCGGGAGAGGUGAGUGGAACUGCGAGUGUAGAGGUGAAAUUCGUAGAUAUUCGCAAGAACACCAGUGGCGAAGGCGGCUCACUGGCCCGGUACUGACGCUGAGGUGCGAAAGCGUGGGGAGCAAACAGG